This is a long non-coding RNA of Heterocephalus glaber (naked mole-rat), 1853 nucleotides long. The record is from Ensembl. Lineage: Eukaryota; Metazoa; Chordata; Mammalia; Rodentia; Bathyergidae.
GUCAGAUUUAAGGGCGGAGUCACUAGGAAACUUUUAAGGAUGUCACAGCAAGUUAAAAGUUUAAUUGGAGUCUGCUCUUGACUUAGUGAUGCCUGGCACAUGGUGUGCUCCCUGUGGUGUCUGGCUGGAGAGCAUUGUAGAAGAUGAUGCAAUGGCCAAAAAGUACGAAGGGAAGAAGAGGAAGAAGAGCUUUCAAUGACUGGAAAAUGUGGACUAGGACUACCCGAGAUCACAAAAUGGUCUUCCUGCCCACCCGUCUUUAUCAGAGCAGGUGCAGCAUGAUGAGGCUUCCUGCCAACACUUUGCCAGUCCUGGAGAUACAGGUGGUGUUUUAUGAAACCUGGACUUUUCCUCUCCCCAACUCCUGUAGUUUAUUUGCACAGUAAGUUUUUUCCACAAAGAGCCUCCUUGACCUCCUUGGAAGUUCUGUGAACUUGGCUUCUUCCAUCCCUGGGCAUUGUUUCUGUUUUGGGUUAGAUUAGAUUAAUUCCACUCUGACUUUUGAAGGGAGAAUUUUCACUGAAAUUACUAACAUCUUAAAUCUACCAUGUGUGUGAUUAAUUUUAACUCAUUCUCACCAGUUAUUUAUAUUGCCAUUGUAGUGAUAAUAUAUCAAAACUGUGCUUAUCUAUAAAUCUUCAUUAAUUCCUAUUUUAGAAAAAAAUACAAGUAGGUAUUUUAAAAUGGUUUCCUACUGCAUGAUCAUCAUGGGCUGACCCAGUUACAGAUUCACUUUUAUUACAUACCCAUAUAAAAUAAUAUCCAUAUUGUGUUUAUAUACAUCAGUGCACAGGAAGAGGCCACCCUCUUUUAACUUACAGAAGUGACAGGUUUAUUUACAUCAAGCUUUAACUUAGAGUGCACUGGAGGUUUUCAAUUGCAAUCACUCAGCUUUGCACACCAAGUCCCAGAGAAUCCAUUAAAGUCAUCGAUUUGUCUUUUUUAUUUCAUACUAAAACUAUUGCUACCAUACAACUUGUAGUAUAUGUUCUCAUAAGUUCUUAAAAUGAACAUGCUUGGAUAUAGAUAUUCAAUUCUGGAUUUUGCAUAAGUGGCCUCUAUUUUGCCUAAAUGGUGAUGUUUGGAUGUUAACCAGGUACCUGCUACCCUUGUGUAGAGACCUUGUGCAGUUUCACUUUUGAAGCCUUCAUGUUAACUUUCCCAAAGCAAAGCACCUAUUUGAAAUAAGUUGCAUGUGUUUAAUAUGCAGGGUUGUUGCACAAGGGCAGAGGAGUAACCCUCUACUUGCUCUUGGGAGGUUUUAGCCAGCUAGUAUGCCAUCGUCUCACCUCCUGUGCAGGGGCCUCAUGACAGGUCCCUACGAGGUUGUUGACAGCAAUUUCCUGUAAGAAAUAGCCUCCAGCACCAUGUUUAUUGUUGGCUGAGAACAUUCCCCAAGAUGAAUUGUAAUACUCCCAGGUGCUUCAGUUAUCUGAAGAGAUAUGGCAAAAUUCUCAGUCUGGCCUCUAAAACAAAAAUUUAUCUUAAUUCAUGGUAUGUGGUACUCAGUAGUUUAUUUCAGGGAAGGAGGAAGAGAAUGGGACUUGUUCAGAAACUGGAGGAAGAGUAGUUUGAUCAACUCCUAAACUUAUCAAUCAGCCUGAGAGGAAGGACAGUUAGUUUUGUUGAAAAUGGUUGUCUUGUUUCCUGAUUGGCCUUUUGUGGCAUUUUCCUAAAGAUGCUGACUUCUUUAAUCUGACAUGGAAGUCAGAAAUAGUUUUAUCUGGCCAUUGUUACAAUUUGAAUAAGAGGUUUGUUUAAUACUUUUGCUUAAUGUUGGUAUAUUGGUCAGGUGUAAUGCUGAUUAAAUUCUGCAACACAGUGGAAAUAACCCCAAAAUGUCUUUAGUUCCC